Molecule: ribosomal RNA, 253 nt
Filed under: uncultured bacterium
Lineage: Bacteria
Description: partial 16S ribosomal RNA
Rfam family: Bacterial small subunit ribosomal RNA
Source: RNAcentral
GACGAAGGAUGCAAGCGUUAUCCGGAUUCAUUGGGUUUAAAGGGAGCGUAGGUGGCCUGGUAAGUCAGUGGUGAAAUCUUCUCGCUUAACGAGAAAACUGCCAUUGAUACUGCUAGGCUUGAGUACAGAUGCCGUUGGCGGAAUAUGACAUGUAGUGGUGAAAUACAUAGAGAUGUCAUAGAACACCGAUUGCGAAGGCAGCUAACGAAACUGUAACUGACACUGAGGCACGAAAGUGUGGGGAUCAAACAGG